AUUGAACGCUGGCGGCAUGCUUUACACAUGCAAGUCGAACGGUAACAGGCCUUCGGGUGCUGACGAGUGGCGAACGGGUGAGUAAUGCAUCGGAACGUACCCAGAGGUGGGGGAUAACGCAGCGAAAGCUGUGCUAAUACCGCAUGUGAUCUGAGGAUGAAAGCGGGGGACCGAGCAGCAAUGUUUGGCCUCGCGCCUUUGGAGCGGCCGAUGUCGGAUUAGCUAGUUGGUGGGGUAAAGGCCUACCAAGGCGACGAUCCGUAGCUGGUCUGAGAGGCCGACCAGCCACAUGGGAACUGAGACACGGCCCAGACUCCUACGGGAGGCAGCAGUGGGGAAUGUUGGACAAUGGGCGCAAGCCUGAUCCAGCAAGGCCGCGUGCGGGAAGAAGGCCUUCGGUGUGUAAACCGCUUUUGGCAGUAACGAAACGGUGUCCGCUAAUACCGGGCGCUAAUGACGGUACCUGCAGAAUAAGCACCGGCUAACUACGUG
This 492-nucleotide ribosomal RNA is filed under the name uncultured bacterium. Its description in RNAcentral is "partial 16S ribosomal RNA". It matches the Rfam family "Bacterial small subunit ribosomal RNA", at positions 29 to 507 of the family's 1533-position model. The record is from RNAcentral.